UGCAACCUGUGAUGCAAACGUACCCAAUUUCCUGAAAUGCAGUGAUUAAUCCAAACACAAUCACCAUCUUUCGGCUGAGGUUGCA
Molecule: small nucleolar RNA, 85 nt
Filed under: Dichanthelium oligosanthes
Lineage: Eukaryota; Viridiplantae; Streptophyta; Magnoliopsida; Poales; Poaceae
Source: RNAcentral